AUUGUCAAGAAACGAGAGAAUCGAACAAAUGAAUCAACUCUUGUCUUAUUCCAUUGAUGUUCAACAUAUUUAUACAAGGAGAAGGGACGCGAUGAAAAGAUGCGUCCGUUCGUAAAGGGGUGCGUGGUAUGUCGGUUGCCAUUCUACUAACCGACAUAGAUUAUUACAUGGGAGGAUUAUCCCUUUUAUUUAAUCUACU
RNAcentral lists this long non-coding RNA (199 nucleotides) under Hordeum vulgare. RNAcentral describes it as "long non-coding RNA (HVUL_LNC017677)". Lineage: Eukaryota; Viridiplantae; Streptophyta; Magnoliopsida; Poales; Poaceae. The record is from RNAcentral.